RNAcentral lists this long non-coding RNA (3036 nucleotides) under Sus scrofa (pig). RNAcentral's name for it is "lncRNA (ENSSSCG00005010005.1)". The record is from RNAcentral. Lineage: Eukaryota; Metazoa; Chordata; Mammalia; Artiodactyla; Suidae.
UUUUUUACUUUUUAGGGCCACACCUGUGGCAUAUGGAGGUUCCCAGGCUAGGGGUCGAAUCGGAGCUGUAGUCACCAGCCUACACCAGAGCCACAGCAACGCGGAAGCCAAGCCACGUCUGCAACCUACACCACAGCUCACAGCAACACCGGAUCCUUAACCCACUGAGCAAGGCCAGGGAUCGCACCCGCAACCUCAUGAAAGAACCAUUUUUUCUUAAAGAGCCUUGUGAGACAAAAAUAAUCAGACCACGGUUCCACUGAAAGAGCCUCUCUCUCCAAAAAAUUACAUAUAUAAGGACAUUAUACAUGUUACAUAUACGAGGACAUUAUUUGGACAGCUGAAAGAGGAGUAAGGCCUGUGGACUAGAUGACUAUGUCGCAUGGACAUUACAUGUCCUGAUUUUGAUGUCACACUGUGGUCACGUAAGAGAACGUCCUUAUGCUUAGGAAACACACUGAAGCAUGUGGGGUAAAUACAGGGACCUGACGUCUUAGACUAGCUCUCAAAUGGGUCAGGAAAAAAGCGCGUGUGUUCAGAUAGAUCAACCAAGCGACAGAGAGACCAGAAGGAGCAGAACGGAAACCAGUGAGUUUGUGAAAACGGAGGAGAGCUGCUUGUAACGCCUGGGAGUUUUCUUUAAGUUGGACAUGUUACCCCCAAAAAGCCGAACGAGCACAGGAAGACAGGAGAGAGGCAGGAAGGGGUGGAGAGGCUUCCCCACCCCACCUGUCGGCACCCAGGGCCUCUCCUCGGGGCCAAGGCCAUGGCCGAGGGGCCCUGCCGCGUGCAGUCUCUCCAGGGAGAUGGCCUUAAAGAACGCGGCCCAGCCUCUGCCACACACCCGGCGCCUGGCUCUGGCCACUGGCCAACACAGCUGUCCCCAAAACACCAGAGCUCCAGCUGUGCCAGGAGCCCAGGGCACUGCUGCGGGGGCUCAGAGGGGUAAAGCUGCGCUCAAAAACAUCAGGGCAAACGGAGAAAGCAAGCCGGGUGCCGUCCUGCGGCAGGGAGCUGGCUCUGCACCUCUGAGACUCACACAGAUGAGAGGGGCCCGGGGCCCAGCAUCUCCAGGUGUGUGUGUUCAUCUCAGGUGCAAAGGCUGUCAGAACGCGGUCAAAGGCGGCCGGAGCCCCAGCACAGGUGUUAGGACUCCAGAGCCAGCACCCCCCCCAGGGGGGGGGGGCUCGCUUGGCCACUUUCUCCCUACCCUGAGCCCGUUGGCAACUUGUGUCACUUCUCAGGGCCUCCAUCUCCCCAUCGGCCAAACAGCAGUACCAGCUUCACAGGGCGUCUGAGAAUAAAAUGAAACACGCCUCUGCGAACACUAACACAUGCUUGUAGUCUUGACCUCACUCAGCCCCAGGGCCUCUCCCCUCCUUCCCACUUGGUGGAAGAGGCUUUGGUUAAUGGUACUUGGUGGGCAGAUAAGAAGAUACGAAGAGACUAUUUCCAAGUUGACCCUAAAAGGUCACCCCAAGCCUCUUCCUGGGCAGGAAGAUGAUGGUGACAACAGGGCGAUGAGACGCCAGUAGGACAACAUUUGCUCCCUUCCCCUCACUGCCGCCCCCAGCGAUGGGCCCCCACCCGACCCCAACACACGAGGGGACCAACAUUAUGCCUCAAGGAACGGAUGGGAAAAGGUGGGAAAGGGAGAUAGCCCCGGGUUUUUAAACUCAAAGCCCUGAGGGUAAUUUGGACCAAAUGUCUGGAGUCAGGACGGAUGAGGGCAGACACUCCUCUAAACACACAGAGACACACAUUCUCAUCCGCACGCACGCACACACGCACACACGCACACAUGCACACGCAGGCAAGCACUGAGAAUGGGCCGAGAGCUCUGCUUCCCAGAGGGGUGAGCAGGGGCUGAACCCCAGGGGGUGAACCUGAGACCUGAAGGACUCUGCCUCCCUCCAGCCUGGCACUGCACCAGCCCGUUCCACGCAGACACAACUCCAAGGGGAAGGACCUGUAUUUUAACACCUUGGCAAAAAAGGAGAGCAAAAUAAAAUUGGAAUAGAUUGUUUUUCUCCACACCUAAAUCAAAAAACCGAGCUUUCUUUCUGGUAUAAUAGGUAAUAACAUUUAAGUUAAGAGCUUGGUAUGUGCCAGAAGCUAGGUCAAGUGCAUAACGUUGGACCAUUGCCUCAUUUAAAUCCUCUCAACCCUAUAAGGUAGGCACCAGAAGCCAGGUAUUAUGCAACAAUAUGGGAAAGAACUGCGACGUGGCUCUGAGAAAUACCUUAGACGAGGCACUUAUGCAACGAGCGGAGCCCACUCUGGGCAUCCCCUUCCACCCGGCCUGGAGCAGAGGCCGCCCCCGGGCCGCACGGCCCCCAGAGGGUCCCCGCAAGGCAGAGCUCGCUAUGCCCAGAGCACGUGCAGAGAGUGAGGUCCCCUCCUACGCAAAGAAGAAUAUUUGCUUGUUCUCACAGCUAAGAACCUCACUGCAUGAAUAUUCUGAGGAAAGCACUGGGCAGGAAUCACAAUGCUAAGGGCACAACUGCUUCCAGAGGGGAAAGGUGACUCAGAAAAUGGGGAGACGCCGUGGAAAGAUGGUCCCACCAAGCAAAGGACAUUUAUUCUUCUACCUCCACGCGAAUGCACCCCUCGGUCACCUCCGAAGGUUUCCCUGAUUUUGAUUUCUGGCUGUCAUUAUCCAAAGAGCAGCCUGGCAACAGAAGGAACUUACUUCGUAAAGAAAGAAUCGCAGAGUAUUGACUUCGUACCGUAAUUCUUCCCUGCAACUCCACGCACGCCACGGUUAUUAGCUUCGCUAUGGAGAGGCCGAGAGGGAUGCUUCUGCAGUUUACAGGCGGACCAAGAGCAAGUCUCCAGGGUCCCGGCACGACAGGACCUUCUGGAAGCUGCGCCGGAGCCGGCAGCAAAGCCCGGGCUUCAGAAGCCUCGGGAGGCGCCGGCACUGCCUGCCCUCGACUCCCAGAAGCAGCGAGCCUGCUCCCGGGCGACGACCCCGGGCUGCACGGACGCUGCACAGGCUCUAGGUCCACACAGCGCUACCUCCGGCCGUGCGGG